GAUGAAGAACGUAGCGAACUGCGAUAAGUAAUGUGAAUUGCAGAAUUCAGUGAAUCAUCGAGUCUUUGAACGCACAUUGCGCCCCCUGGAAUUCCGGGGGGCAUGCCUGUCCGAGCGUCAUUGCUGCCCUUCAAGCCCGGCUUGUGUGUUGGGUCGUCGUCCCCCCCGGGGGACGGGCCCGAAAGGCAGCGGCGGCACCGCGUCCGGUCCUCGAGCGUAUGGGGCUUUGUCACCCGCUCGAUUAGGGCCGGCCGGGCGCCAGCCGGCGUCUCCAACCUUCUAUUUUACCAGGUUGACCUCGGAUCAGGUAGGGAUACCCGCUGAACUUAAGCAUAUCAAUAAGCGGAGGA
This 350-nucleotide unclassified non-coding RNA is filed under the name soil metagenome. Its description in RNAcentral is "partial contains 5.8S ribosomal RNA, internal transcribed spacer 2, and large subunit ribosomal RNA". The stretch from base 1 to 120 matches the Rfam family "5.8S ribosomal RNA", at positions 35 to 154 of the family's 154-position model. The record is from RNAcentral.